RNAcentral lists this ribosomal RNA (460 nucleotides) under uncultured bacterium. RNAcentral describes it as "partial 16S ribosomal RNA". It matches the Rfam family "Bacterial small subunit ribosomal RNA", at positions 338 to 795 of the family's 1533-position model. The record is from RNAcentral.
CCUACGGGGGACAGCAGUGGGGAAUAUUGCGCAAUGGGCGAAAGCCUGACGCAGCCAAGUAGCGUGAAGGAUGACUGCCCUACGGGUUGUAAACUUCUUUUAUAAAGGAAUAAAGUGAGGCACGUGUGCCUUUUUGUAUGUACUUUAUGAAUAAGGAUCGGCUAACUCCGUGCCAGCAGCCGCGGUAAUACGGAGGAUCCGAGCGUUAUCCGGAUUUAUUGGGUUUAAAGGGAGCGUAGAUGGGUUGUUAAGUCAGUUGGGAAAGUUUGCGGCUCAACCAUAAAAUUGCAAUUGAUACUGGCAGUCUUGAGUACAGUUGAGGUAGGCGGAAUUCGUGGUGUAGCGGUGAAAUGCUUAGAUAUUACGAAGAACUCCGAUUGCGAAGGCAGCUUACUAAACUGCCACUGACAUUGAUGCUCGAAAGUGUGGGUACCAAACAGGAUUAGAUACCCGAGUAGUC